GCGGGUUUAGCUCAGUUGGGAGAGCGUCAGACUGAAGUCAAACUUCAAUCACAUGAUAUCUGAAGGUCGUGUGUUCGAUCCACACAAACCGCA
Molecule: transfer RNA, 93 nt
Filed under: Fusarium poae
Lineage: Eukaryota; Fungi; Ascomycota; Sordariomycetes; Hypocreales; Nectriaceae
Also listed under: 1 other name
Description: tRNA-Phe
Rfam family: tRNA
About the family: Transfer RNA (tRNA) molecules are approximately 80 nucleotides in length. Their secondary structure includes four short double-helical elements and three loops (D, anti-codon, and T loops).
Source: RNAcentral